AACGAACGCUGGCGGCAUGCCUAACACAUGCAAGUCGAACGAGACCUUCGGGUCUAGUGGCGCACGGGUGCGUAACGCGUGGGAACCUGCCCUUAGGUUCGGAAUAACUCCCCGAAAGGGGUGCUAAUACCGGAUAAUGUCUUCGGACCAAAGAUUUAUCGCCUUUGGAUGGGCCCGCGUUGGAUUAGCUAGUUGGUAGGGUAAAAGCCUACCAAGGCGACGAUCCAUAGCUGGUCUGAGAGGAUGAUCAGCCACACUGGGACUGAGACACGGCCCAGACUCCUACGGGAGGCAGCAGUGGGGAAUAUUGGACAAUGGGCGAAAGCAUGAUCCAGCAAUGCCGCGUGAGUGAUGAAGGCCUUAGGGUUGUAAAGCGCUUUUACCCGGGAUGAUAAUGACAGUACCGGGAGAAUAAGCUCCGGCUAACUCCGUG
This 433-nucleotide ribosomal RNA is filed under the name uncultured bacterium. RNAcentral's name for it is "partial 16S ribosomal RNA". It matches the Rfam family "Bacterial small subunit ribosomal RNA", at positions 29 to 507 of the family's 1533-position model. The record is from RNAcentral.